GCGCGUAGGCGGCCUUCUAAGUCAGACGUGAAAUCCCCAGGCUUAACUUGGGAACUGCGUCUGAUACUGGGAGGCUUGAGUGCGGGAGAGGGAUGUGGAAUUCCAGGUGUAGCGGUGAAAUGCGUAGAUAUCUGGAGGAACACCGGUGGCGAAGGCGGCAUCCUGGACCGACACUGACGCUGAGGCGCGAAAGCUAGGGAGCAAACG
RNAcentral lists this ribosomal RNA (207 nucleotides) under uncultured bacterium. RNAcentral describes it as "partial 16S ribosomal RNA". It matches the Rfam family "Bacterial small subunit ribosomal RNA", at positions 567 to 774 of the family's 1533-position model. The record is from RNAcentral.